CGGGGGGGGGUGCUUUACACAUGCAGUCGAACGAUGAAGCCUUUCGGGGUGGAUUAGUGGCGAACGGGUGAGUAACACGUGGGCAAUCUGCCCUUCACUCUGGGACAAGCCCUGGAAACGGGGUCUAAUACCGGAUAAUACUCUGUUCCGCAUGGGACGGGGUUGAAAGCUCCGGCGGUGAAGGAUGAGCCCGCGGCCUAUCAGCUUGUUGGUGGGGUGAUGGCCUACCAAGGCGACGACGGGUAGCCGGCCUGAGAGGGCGACCGGCCACACUGGGACUGAGACACGGCCCAGACUCCUACGGGAGGCAGCAGUGGGGAAUAUUGCACAAUGGGCGAAAGCCUGAUGCAGCGACGCCGCGUGAGGGAUGACGGCCUUCGGGUUGUAAACCUCUUUCAGCAGGGAAGAAGCGAAAGUGACGGUACCUGCAGAAGAAGCGCCGGCUAACUACGUGCCAGCAGCCGCGGUAAUACGUAGGGCGCAAGCGUUGUCCGGAAUUAUUGGGCGUAAAGAGCUCGUAGGCGGCUUGUCACGUCGGAUGUGAAAGCCCGGGGCUUAACCCCGGGUCUGCAUUCGAUACGGGCUAGCUAGAGUGUGGUAGGGGAGAUCGGAAUUCCUGGUGUAGCGGUGAAAUGCGCAGAUAUCAGGAGGAACACCGGUGGCGAAGGCGGAUCUCUGGGCCAUUACUGACGCUGAGGAGCGAAAGCGUGGGGAGCGAACAGGAUUAGAUACCCUGGUAGUCCACGCCGUAAACGUUGGGAACUAGGUGUUGGCGACAUUCCACGUCGUCGGUGCCGCAGCUAACGCAUUAAGUUCCCCGCCUGGGGAGUACGGCCGCAAGGCUAAAACUCAAGGAAUUGACGGGGGCCCGCACAAGCAGCGGAGCAUGUGGCUUAAUUCGACGCAACGCGAAGAACCUUACCAAGCUUGACAUAUACCGGAAAGCAUCAGAGAUGGUGCCCCCUUGUGUCGGUAUACAGUGGGUGCAUGGCUGUCGUCAGCUCGUGUCUGAGAUGUUGGGUUAAGUCCCGCAACGAGCGCAACCCUUGUUCUGUGGUGCCAGCAUGCCCUUCCGA
RNAcentral lists this ribosomal RNA (1076 nucleotides) under Streptomyces sp. RNAcentral describes it as "bacterial SSU rRNA". It matches the Rfam family "Bacterial small subunit ribosomal RNA", at positions 36 to 1134 of the family's 1533-position model. Lineage: Bacteria; Bacillati; Actinomycetota; Actinomycetes; Kitasatosporales; Streptomycetaceae. The record is from RNAcentral.